GUUGGUGAUUCAUUGCAGGGGCCACACCUCUUCCCAUUCCGAACAGAGAAGUUAAGCCCUGUUAAGCCGAUGAUAGCUUUAAUAGCAAAAGUAGGUUGUCGCCAACA
RNAcentral lists this ribosomal RNA (107 nucleotides) under Candidatus Nomurabacteria bacterium RIFCSPHIGHO2_12_FULL_44_22b. RNAcentral also lists the same sequence under 2 other names. Lineage: Bacteria; Candidatus Nomuraibacteriota. The record is from RNAcentral.